RNAcentral lists this long non-coding RNA (200 nucleotides) under Carica papaya (papaya). RNAcentral's name for it is "long non-coding RNA (CPAP_LNC001815)". Lineage: Eukaryota; Viridiplantae; Streptophyta; Magnoliopsida; Brassicales; Caricaceae. The record is from RNAcentral.
CUCUACCUCAUGUGGGGGAGGUAGACUAGGAAGUUUAUUGGGAAAGAAAUUUGAAAAAUUACAAACAAUUAGUAUGGAACACACAGCAGGAUCAAUGUCCAUAUUCCUGUUCAUUCAAUUGUUAGGAAAAUGAUAACAACAAUUUUAUUUCUUUUUCGAGGAUUGUAAGUUUAGAAUUUUACUUUCACAAUCUAUUAUAG